GCUUAAGUAUUUUAAGUUCUAAAAAUUUUGACUUGUGGUGUCAUAGAUAUCAGUUGUAGAUCUUAAGUC
Molecule: transfer RNA, 69 nt
Filed under: Aeneolamia contigua
Lineage: Eukaryota; Metazoa; Arthropoda; Insecta; Hemiptera; Cercopidae
Description: tRNA-His
Source: RNAcentral